GAGGGAGAAGCAGGCUCCCUGCGGGAAGCCCGAUGCAGGACUCGAUCCCAGGACCUCAGGAUCACGACCUGAGCCAAAGGCAGACGUUCAACCACUCAGCCACCUGGGUGCCCCAAUCAUGUCAUUCUAAGAAUCUCUAAGAAAGCAACUCCAGGAGCUCAAGAGACUUACCUAGGGUUACAGAUUCAAGUUAAUGCAGUGCAAAGAUUUGAAUCUAUGAAACCCAAAUUCAGAACCAGAUGUUCCCCUCUUCUGCCAAAUUGCUAUUCCCAAGACUAUCAAGAGGUCAGAAGAAGAACUCACAGUCCACCUCUUUCUUCCGGCUAAGUAGCAAUGGGAUCCUGGAUAUUAUCCAUGCUGGAGAAGAAGGAAGAACAUAUCUGCCUUCGAAUGGUGGAGGAGUAAGGAGGACUCCCGGGUUGAAGGGAGAGGAUUUUGUUGCAGGAGAAAUUUGGAAUACGGACUUUGGGUAAGGGAAAAGUUCCGCUGCAAUGCCGUUUGACAGAAAUAUGGUGCAAGCCAUGGAUAUAAGCUCAUACUUAAUUUUAAAUUUCU
Canis lupus familiaris (dog) is the source of this 555-nucleotide long non-coding RNA. RefSeq lists it as uncharacterized. Lineage: Eukaryota; Metazoa; Chordata; Mammalia; Carnivora; Canidae. The transcript has 3 exons. The record is from RefSeq and is a predicted model, not a curated record.